CUCUUGAUUAGCUGUGUGACGUUUCACAGGUUGCCUAACCCCUCUGAGGUUUGGGUUUCACAGCCAUUAAAUGGGUUGAAUACCCAGGAACCUGAUUACCUUGAGGUGGUCAUGGGGUCAGGCCUGCAGCUCCAGCCUUGGAGGUGUUCUGUUUGGGCAGCCAUCAGGGGAAACUACUUGAGGAGGAGCCAGUGCCUUGGGAUUAAGAAGAUGGUGCUCCUCCCUCAGGGUAAUAGGAGGGGGAGUUCUUAAAUGUCCUGGAGUAUCCAGGUCUGGAGAGAAGACGACAUGACCUGAAACUCAGCAGGUGGUGGUGAGCUUCAGACUGCUGAGGCUGUGGCAGAGGCAGUGUGCAGUUCUCUGCCCCAUCCUUUGAAAUACCAGGAGCGCAGCUGACACAGGCUGAAAGGGAAACUUAGUUGUGAUACAGCCAAGAGCCUGUCAGCUUCUGUAGGGGGUUCUCCUUACCCUGAGUGUAUAGAGAGGUGAUGACCACUGGUGGGAGCUGAGAAACCAUAUAGCCGCCUGCAACAAGUAAAUGUUGAUAUUUGCAUUGGAGAUAUGGGGAGUUAACACUCUCCACGGGAGAUUUGUUCUUUUGCUUACAGUUUCUUACUUAGGUAACUGAGAAGUGAAGCUUUUGAAAAAUCAAAAAAGAAAUUUAACUUAUUAUGUGGGGUAGGGACAAAGGAAAGUCACCAAGUUCAGGAAUGGCGUAACCCAGCCUUGCUGUAAGAGGGUGACAUCUGUGCCUGACCAUAGGCUGACACUGGUGACCAGGGCCAUCUGGGGCAGAGCUGUGAACCCAAGGAAGCAGCUGAAUAAGCAAGCAGGCAGCCUGCCAUGGGGCCCUGCUCCAAGAACCGGUCCUUCUGCUGGAUGAUUGGGCUCCUGGUAUUCAUUAACCUCCUCCUUAGUGUCUGCAGCACGGCAGCCAACACUUCUGGAGCACAUGGCUCUGCAGUGAAGGAUUCUGGAGCCCCCAUUCAUCUGAAGGGGAUCCGAGGAGGUUCUGUCUUGUUGCAUGUGAUUGAGAAGCUCAGAGUAGAUGUAGGUGCUGAGCUGGAGGAGGUUCUGUGGGCUUUGGGCACUCUGUCAAAUCAUACACAGCUUCUGCAAGUCCACAGCGGGGCCGAUUCUCCAACCUGGUUGAAACUCCAGGACAAGUUCAAGCAGAGCAUCCAUGUACCCAGCAUGUCAUCCCUGAGGAUUGAGAACCUGGCCCUUGAGGACAGUGGGCAGUACUUUGCCCUCAUCUCUAGUGGGGGAGAUGGGAUUGUGUAG
RNAcentral lists this long non-coding RNA (1284 nucleotides) under Macaca mulatta (Rhesus monkey). RNAcentral describes it as "lncRNA (ENSMMUG00000058523.1)". Lineage: Eukaryota; Metazoa; Chordata; Mammalia; Primates; Cercopithecidae. The record is from RNAcentral.